Molecule: ribosomal RNA, 1484 nt
Filed under: metagenome
Description: bacterial SSU rRNA
Rfam family: Bacterial small subunit ribosomal RNA
Source: RNAcentral
AGAGUUUGAUCCUGGCUCAGGAUGAACGCUGGCGGCGUGCUUAACACAUGCAAGUCGAACGAAGCACUUUAUUUGAUCUCUUCGGAGUGAAAGUUUUGUGACUGAGUGGCGGACGGGUGAGUAACGCGUGGGUAACCUGCCUCAUACAGGGGGAUAACAGUUGGAAACGACUGCUAAUACCGCAUAAGCGCGCAGGGUCGCAUGACCUGGUGUGAAAAACUCCGGUGGUAUGAGAUGGACCCGCGUCUGAUUAGCCAGUUGGUGGGGUAACGGCCUACCAAAGCGACGAUCAGUAGCCGACCUGAGAGGGUGACCGGCCACAUUGGGACUGAGACACGGCCCAAACUCCUACGGGAGGCAGCAGUGGGGAAUAUUGCACAAUGGGGGAAACCCUAAUGCAGCGACGCCGCGUGAGCGAAGAAGUAUUUCGGUAUGUAAAGCUCUAUCAGCAGGGAAGAAGAAAUGACGGUACCUGACUAAGAAGCACCGGCUAAAUACGUGCCAGCAGCCGCGGUAAUACGUAUGGUGCAAGCGUUAUCCGGAUUUACUGGGUGUAAAGGGAGCGCAGGCGGUACGGCAAGUCUGAUGUGAAAGCCCGGGGCUCAACCCCGGUACUGCAUUGGAAACUGUCGGACUAGAGUGUCGGAGGGGUAAGUGGAAUUCCUAGUGUAGCGGUGAAAUGCGUAGAUAUUAGGAGGAACACCAGUGGCGAAGGCGGCUUACUGGACGAUUACUGACGCUGAGGCUCGAAAGCGUGGGGAGCAAACAGGAUUAGAUACCCUGGUAGUCCACACUGUAAACGAUGAUUACUAGGUGUUGGAGGAUUGACCCCUUCAGUGCCGCAGUUAACACAAUAAGUAAUCCACCUGGGGAGUACGACCGCAAGGUUGAAACUCAAAGGAAUUGACGGGGGCCCGCACAAGCAGUGGAGUAUGUGGUUUAAUUCGACGCAACGCGAAGAACCUUACCAAGUCUUGACAUCCUGCGACGGACAUAGAAAUAUGUUUUUCCUUCGGGACGCAGAGACAGGUGGUGCAUGGUUGUCGUCAGCUCGUGUCGUGAGAUGUUGGGUUAAGUCCCGCAACGAGCGCAACCCUUAUGGUCAGUUACUACGCAAGAGGACUCUGGCCAGACUGCCGUUGACAAAACGGAGGAAGGUGGGGAUGACGUCAAAUCAUCAUGCCCUUUAUGACUUGGGCUACACACGUACUACAAUGGCGUUAAACAAAGAGAAGCAAGACCGCGAGGUGGAGCAAAACUCAGAAACAACGUCCCAGUUCGGACUGCAGGCUGCAACUCGCCUGCACGAAGUCGGAAUUGCUAGUAAUCGCAGAUCAGCAUGCUGCGGUGAAUACGUUCCCGGGCCUUGUACACACCGCCCGUCACACCAUGAGAGCCGGGGGGACCCGAAGUCGGUAGUCUAACCGCAAGGAGGACGCCGCCGAAGGUAAAACUGGUGAUUGGGGUGAAGUCGUAACAAGGUA